CCCUUAGAUGUUCUGGGCCGCACGCGCGCUACACUGAUGAAUGCAACGAGCUCUACCCUUGACCGAAAGGCCCGGGUAAACUUGUGAAACUUCAUCGUGAUGGGGAUAGAUUAUUGCAAUUAUUAAUCUUCGACGAGGAAUUCCUAGUAAGCGCGAGUCAUCAGCUCGCGUUGAUUACGUCCCUGCCCUUUGUACACACCGCCCGUCGCUCCUACCGAUUGAAUGGUCCGGUGAAAUCUUCGGAUUGCUGACCAAGAUCCAGCAAUGGAGCUUGGUUGCGAGAAGUUGAUUAAACCUUAUUAUUUAGAGGAAGGAGAAGUCGUAACA
This 327-nucleotide ribosomal RNA is filed under the name uncultured eukaryote. RNAcentral's name for it is "partial 18S ribosomal RNA". It matches the Rfam family "Eukaryotic small subunit ribosomal RNA", at positions 1470 to 1796 of the family's 1831-position model. The record is from RNAcentral.